Non-coding RNA from Pelobates cultripes (western spadefoot toad), 406 nucleotides. The record is from the annotation of a GenBank genome assembly. Lineage: Eukaryota; Metazoa; Chordata; Amphibia; Anura; Pelobatidae.
GUCCGACGCUGGAGAAAGGUAAAUGCUGAAGACACACACACACACUCUCACGAACAGAAGCAUACACACUAGCUAACAGACACACACAUUUACUGACAGACACACUCAGCGACAGACAUACAUACACACUCACUUACAAAACAUACACUUUCACUGACAAACACACACUCACUAACAGACAUCAAACACACUCAGUAACACACUCACUAGCAGACACACACCCAAUAACAGACACACUCACUAACACACACACAAUAACACAUACACUAACAUAUACUAACACACACACAUACACUAACACACAAACAUACACUUUUUUUAAAAUGUAAUCCCCCCAGCCUCCUUACCUUUUGGAGUGCUGGGGGGAUUCCCUGGGGUCCAGUGGUGCUGCUGGGCUCCUGGUCAC